Long non-coding RNA from Oreochromis aureus, 2298 nucleotides. The record is from Ensembl. NCBI's taxonomy places the organism in Eukaryota, Metazoa, Chordata, Actinopteri, Cichliformes, Cichlidae.
AACAAAAGUAGGACGAUUUGCCGCUAAAUUUUAGCUGUUUAAGAAUGCUUGUAGGUGACAUUCACAAAGGUAGGAUGGUUUGGCAGUGAAUGCUAUCGGCCAGCAUUUUUUUUAGCUAAUAUUCACAAAGGUAGGACGGUUUGCCACUGAAUUUCGUGUUGUGCGCAUGCGCAGACACAACGGUAGGAUGGAUUCCCAGAACACCGGGAGAAAAAGAGUCACGUGCCUGUGCGGAUGUGUAUGUGUUGUGGGUUAAUUAACAGAAGGGAGAGAGAGUGAGGAUAAAACACAUAAUAUAAGAAUAAUAACAUCUCUUAACAAGAAGAAGUUUUUUUUUAAAUUAAUUAAUUUUAGUUUUUUAGUAAAUUUUUAAGAACUGUUUAACACUUGUUUGUGCAGGUUGUUUUUUAAAUAAAACCUACACCUGCAGCUCUGUUUAACUUCUCACUUUGUGAAAAAUUAAUGAAAUAUAAAAAAAGGCCACCUUCAAAUAAAUAAAAUGCAGCAGUGCGCCAUUAAUAUUAUUAAUAUGAUAUGUAGAUAUUUAAAACAACAGCAUAUUAAAUGAUACUGUGUGCAGGUGAUAUUUUUAGGGCGCAGAAUUUGAAUGCAGACCAACUCAAAUGUUAAAGCCUACAAAUAUAUCACCCAAUCUUUCAUUUAUGAUUGUUCAUGCUUUGAAAUUGUGAUGUCAGAAUUUGAUAAAGUGUGCAGUGCUAGGUGUAGCAAAUCAUUGCUUAUGAAAUUAGAGCUAUCACAUAGCUGAGAAACUUGUGUGGCUUAUUACAAAUGGAUGAAACCACAUUUUACCUUAAUGAAGACAGUAAUCUUUAAUAAGGUGUAGAAAAAAGAGAGUGAAAGAGAUCUUUGGUUUUGCCUUUGCUGACUGCUGAUCUGAUCGUCUCAAGUCUGGUGACCUGCUGCAGAAGAUCCUCUCUCUCUAUCAUUAUAAGCAAUUCUGUCUAUCCUAUCACUCUCCCGACUCUAUCUAAUUUGACAGCCAUUCUAUCUUGUAUCCCUCUAUCCCUACUGCUCUAUCUAAUUUGACAGCCAUUCUAUCUUGUAUCCCUCUAUCCCUACUGCUCUAUCUAAUUUGACAGCCAUUCUAUCUUGUAUCCCUCUAUCUCUACUGCUCUAUCUAAUUUGACAGCCAUUCUAUCUUGUAUCCCUCUAUCCCUACUGCUCUAUCUAAUUUGACAGCCAUUCUAUCUUGUAUCCCUCUAUCCCAAGCGCUCUAUCUAAUUUCAGAAUCCAAGUUUUCAGAAAUCCAAGUUUUCAGAUUCCAAGUUUUCAGAAAUCCAAGUACCAGUACUUGAUCUAUCUGUUACAGAAUUCUGAGAGAUCUCUGCUCUCACUGCUCCUUCUUUCCUGUCAUUAAACUCUCUCACAUUCAGUCAUUUUGCUGAAAAUUACAAUUAGAAAGUUGAAUAUACAGUAGUAGAAUAUCAGUACAGUAGAACUUAUAGUAGUAACUACUUAUACAGCCCUACAUUUGUAGUUUUAACUUGGCAUUACUCUUUGGAAUAAACACUGAUAGUUUGGCUUACUGGUGCAAUUACUUUGAUACAUUAUAUAAAAUAUACACCUUUUGAAAGGUUUAUUUGUAAUAAGAUAAUCUGACUAUUCUGUAAUAUAUUCAGAGUGCUAUAUUCACAUAAAUAUUAAAUUUGAUUCAAAUACAUUUUUCAAGUCUGUUUCAUUGGCUAUAAUAUUUGACUACAAGUUUAUACUAUUAUUAUUUAAGGACAAACCCUUUUUUGUCACUCAGUGUAAGUGUUCAGUUAGAAUUGUCAUCUAGAGGCUGCCCUGAGAACCCAGACUUCCUGUUUCCUGACUGCUGCAGAACAUCCAGCUGAAGACUCCCCAUCGCCUGUCAUCUGAUCACCACACCAUCACAGCUCCUUAUAUUUGCUUUAAAUUUUAAAUAUCUGAAAGAUUUACACAAAGUCUACUUAAAAGCUAAGAUUUUUAUCAUAGCCUGUUGAUUGAUUGUUGAGAUUUAUUCUGCAUAUUACUUUACAGAAGUAUAGACCUAUUUGUUAUCCAGUCUGGUUAAAAAAAAAUAUAAGAAGUAAUAAUAUACAGUUUUUGAAAAAGUUACAAUAAAACAGACCAAAGUGUUUUCAAAGAACUUUAAAUAACUUUUAUAUUGAGUUUGUAUUUAAGUCAGCCUUUUACAUCAAUUCUGAUAAAUCUCUGAUUUAAUAGUUAUUAAAGUCAUUAGUUUUUCAGUGUUUACAGGUUGACUUUUGUUUACAUUUGUGUAUAAAUACAUAUAAGGUCCAGUUUGUACUUCAA